This 497-nucleotide ribosomal RNA is filed under the name uncultured bacterium. Its description in RNAcentral is "partial 16S ribosomal RNA". It matches the Rfam family "Bacterial small subunit ribosomal RNA", at positions 28 to 507 of the family's 1533-position model. The record is from RNAcentral.
GAUGAACGCUGGCGGCGUGCCUAAUACAUGCAAGUCGAGCGAACAGACGAGGAGCUUGCUCCUCUGACGUUAGCGGCGGACGGGUGAGUAACACGUGGAUAACCUACCUAUAAGACUGGGAUAACUUCGGGAAACCGGAGCUAAUACCGGAUAAUAUAUUGAACCGCAUGGUUCAAUAGUGAAAGACGGUUUUGCUGUCACUUAUAGAUGGAUCCGCGCCGCAUUAGCUAGUUGGUAAGGUAACGGCUUACCAAGGCAACGAUGCGUAGCCGACCUGAGAGGGUGAUCGGGGAGCAAGAGAAUGAGACAAGGUCCACAAGGCUACGAGAGGGAGAAGAAGAGACGCGUCAGAAAUGGGCGAAAGUGUGACAGAGGAACGAAGAGUGAUUGAUGAAAGUAUUAGGAGCAUAAAACUAUGCUAGUAGGGAAGAACAAAUGUGUAAGGACCUGUGCACAUCUUGACGGGACCUGGUCAGAAAGCCACGGGUAAAUAAGUG